This 348-nucleotide unclassified non-coding RNA is filed under the name soil metagenome. Its description in RNAcentral is "partial contains 5.8S ribosomal RNA, internal transcribed spacer 2, and large subunit ribosomal RNA". The stretch from base 1 to 120 matches the Rfam family "5.8S ribosomal RNA", at positions 35 to 154 of the family's 154-position model. The record is from RNAcentral.
GAUGAAGAACGUAGCGAAAUGCGAUAAGUAGUGUGAAUUGCAGAAUUCAGUGAAUCAUCGAGUCUUUGAACGCACAUUGCGCCCCCUGGUAUUCCGGGGGGCAUGCCUGUCCGAGCGUCAUUGCUGCCCUCAAGCACGGCUUGUGUGUUGGGCCCCGCCCCCCGGCUCCCGGGGGGCGGGCCCGAAAGGCAGCGGCGGCACCGCGUCCGGUCCUCGAGCGUAUGGGGCUUCGUCACCCGCUCCGUAGGCCCGGCCGGCGCCCGCCGGCGACCCCCCUCAAUCUUUUCAGGUUGACCUCGGAUCAGGUAGGGAUACCCGCUGAACUUAAGCAUAUCAAUAAGCGGAGGA